Molecule: ribosomal RNA, 425 nt
Filed under: uncultured Clostridium sp.
Lineage: Bacteria; Bacillati; Bacillota; Clostridia; Eubacteriales; Clostridiaceae
Description: bacterial SSU rRNA
Rfam family: Bacterial small subunit ribosomal RNA
Source: RNAcentral
UGGGGGAUAUUGCACAAUGGAGGAAACUCUGAUGCAGCAACGCCGCGUGAGGGAAGAAGGUCUUCGGAUUGUAAACCUAAGUAGUCAGGGACGAAAGAAAUGACGGUACCUGAAGAGUAAGCUCCGGCUAACUACGUGCCAGCAGCCGCGGUAAUACGUAGGGAGCGAGCGUUGUCCGGAUUUACUGGGUGUAAAGGGUGCGUAGGCGGGCCUGCAAGUCAGACGUGAAAUACCGGGGCUUAACUCCGGGGCUGCGUUUGAAACUGUGGGUCUUGAGUGAAGUAGAGGCAGGCGGAAUUCCUAGUGUAGCGGUGAAAUGCGUAGAUAUUAGGAGGAACACCAGUGGCGAAGGCGGCCUGCUGGGCUUUAACUGACGCUGAGGCACGAAAGCAUGGGGAGCAAACAGGAUUAGAUACCCUGGUAGU